CACGCCGUAAACGAUGAGUACUAGGUGUAGGGGGUAUCGACCCCCCCUGUGCCGCAGUAAACACAAUAAGUACUCCGCCUGGGAAGUACGAUCGCAAGAUUAAAACUCAAAGGAAGUGACGGGGACCCGCACAAGCAGCGGAGCAUGUGGUUUAAUUCGAAGCAACGCGAAGAACCUUACCUGGACUUGACAUCCCCUGAAUUACUCGUAAUGGAGGAAGCCCUCCGGGGCAGGGAGACAGGUGG
This 245-nucleotide ribosomal RNA is filed under the name uncultured bacterium. RNAcentral describes it as "partial 16S ribosomal RNA". It matches the Rfam family "Bacterial small subunit ribosomal RNA", at positions 796 to 1041 of the family's 1533-position model. The record is from RNAcentral.